RNAcentral lists this long non-coding RNA (2343 nucleotides) under Sus scrofa (pig). RNAcentral's name for it is "lncRNA (ENSSSCG00060003172.1)". The record is from RNAcentral. Lineage: Eukaryota; Metazoa; Chordata; Mammalia; Artiodactyla; Suidae.
AAUGACUUUAGAUUUGUUAAUUUUAAGUACGAGGUGAAGAGAUGCAUGGGAAUACCCUGUUCUCACCUCAGUUUGUUCCAUCUGCAUAAGCUAUUUUAUCUUUCAAUACCCCUUUUGAUUUUUUUCAUUUUGGUCCUUGAAUAAAUUAAGGAUCAUUUAAAAUAAAUAAAUGUCGACUUCGAGAUACUAUUAAAUAUAUUCUUUGCAAUUCGUCCGAUGGGAAAUUGGUAAAAAUCAGUCUCCAAAGAACUCAGAUCAGGAUUCUAGCCAGAUUUGAAGAGAAACAAAUUUCAGAUAGAUAUGGUUUUCAGGUAAGAAAAGGUAGGAAUUCUCGUCAGCCCCCAAACAAUGAUUUUACUUGCUUGGUGACACAGUUGACCUUUCUCUGCAGGGCCAUGGUCUUCUAAGUACCUCUGCUCUAAUUAUAUCUUGCUAUACCCACGAAUUUGAUUGUUGUUCUAUUUCCAUGGAUCAUUAAUUUCCCAUUCCAGCAGAGAUUCCCUGUAGUCAAGUUCCUGAGGGGUAGGUGCUUGUUAUUUUCUCUUUCAAUCAUGUGCAUUUUAUAUUUACUAUUAAAUUUUUGAAUAAUGACACCUUCUCCAAGCGGCUGUAAGUUUGGCUGUGAUGAACCUCUCCGGAGAAGCCUGUGAGCUUUCACAUCUGCUGGAAAACUCUGGGGAGAAUCUUUCUAAUGAGGAAUUCCUGGAACAAGAAAUUACAGAUGAUCUCUUUUUCAGAAGACAUGGCAAGCAAGUGAAUGCCUUUUUCUCCCAUCAGAGAAGAAGUCAACCUCUCUGUUCAACUUUUUGGUGGAGGCUACGAUCCAGUUUCUAGCUGGCUGAAUGGUGAUGGAACGACAUGAACUCUGGACCUGAGGAAUACGUGCGGAAGGAAGGAUAAUGGGUUUGUGUGCUUGUAAACCAACCCGUCGGAUGCAUGCACCAGGCAUUUGGAAAUAGAAUGCAACAGAAGAGCCAAGCCCUGGAGUUAAGGUGUGAGUGAUCAGCCUAUAUGAAACCUUAAGGUACUUCUGGGAGAGGUCGUGGGGUUAGAACAAAGUGGGAUCAAAAAAGAGAGCCCUAUGAAACCCCGGCAUUGAAGAGCAGAGGACAAGGAUCCAACUAAGACACAGCAUGUGUAAUAAAUGAAAGAGGAGAGAACUGUCAGUGUGUAGUUUUCAGAAGGAAGAAGAAGUUCAUGGCAGCAGAUACAGUAGAAAGGUCCAAUAAGAGAGGGUCCAUCUUUGGGAGUAGGCUUUUGUGAUAUUUAUACAACGCUCUCAAUUAUCCGGAUAUUUUCUGCUUUUCUUAUUUUCUCAUGAACACAUUGUAUGAAUCCCCUGAGACCUGCCUCACUUAAAACAUUCAUGAGACUGCACAGCCAGCCAGGCCCAAGGAGAGCAUCUGAGACUGAACUCUUGGUAUCCAUCAGCCACAUAUGGAUACUAAACCCCUGAAAUAAUUGUGUCCAAAUUAAAAUGUGCUGUAAGUGCGACACAGUUACUGGAUUUCAGAGACUCCGUAUAAAAAUGUAAAAUACCUCACUGAUAAUUUUUAGAUCGAUCGUCUGUUCAAACCAUACUAUCGUGAAGGCACUGUUGUACAAAGUACAUUAAGUUACAUGUUAUUCGUUUGCUUUAAGUUUUAUUCAUGUGACCAGCGGAAAAUGGAGAAUGACCAAUUUGGCUCGCACGGGCAGCUGCCGUGAUUAUUUCUGGUAGAUGGUGCCCCUCUCCGCCGCAGCCUGUGCUUUUCACAACCUCUGGAGCAGCCUGGUUUUCCCUGUGCAUCUCACGCAACCACCUGUGCCCAGCGCAACACCUGCAGUCACUUGAGCCAACAUCCGGAGUCAGUCUGCCGUGGUUAUCCUCUCACCGAAAUGCUUUGUGUUUACUGAUUCCAAUUAGAUCCUGAAUGCACCUCGGCCGUAAUAGUCUCUGACUCAGUACAAAUGGUCUUAUUCUCUAGUAUUUUAAAUUAUUAUGCUUUAAUUCCCCUUCCAGCCUGCUUAGGCAUUAUGUGUCUAUGACAGGGCAAAGGUCUUAAAUCCAUAGAGUGAAAUCGUAGGAUCUGAUAGAGGAAACCUGUUUCCAUGGACCAACGCUAACAUGAACCUAGGGUAGAAUAUUCCGGAUGCCCUUGACAUUCAUGCGGUGACUUGUGAUGACAAUCAGGCUGAUGAUGAUGUAAAUGACAGUUAUCACUGCUGCGAACUUUUCAAACACAGAAUGUAUUUUCAAGUUGCGUAGUACUCACUAACAUGAAAAGGAUUGGGAUGGCGGACAUGCUUGUCUAAUUAGGAAAUACAUAGUAUACCAGCAGAAAAUAGACCUUCUCCAUGAUA